CGGCAGCACAGCAGUAGCAAUACUGCGGGUGGCGAGUGGCGGACGGGUGAGUAAUGCAUCGGGACCUACCUAGACGUGGGGGAUAACGUAGGGAAACUUACGCUAAUACCGCAUACGUCCUACGGGAGAAAGCAGGGGACCUUCGGGCCUUGCGCGGUUAGACGGACCGAUGUUCGAUUAGCUAGUUGGUAGGGUAAUGGCCUACCAAGGCGACGAUCGAUAGCUGGUCUGAGAGGAUGAUCAGCCACACUGGAACUGAGACACGGUCCAGACUCCUACGGGAGGCAGCAGUGGGGAAUAUUGGACAAUGGGCGCAAGCCUGAUCCAGCAAUGCCGCGUGUGUGAAGAAGGCCUUCGGGUUGUAAAGCACUUUUAUCAGGAGCGAAACGCUGUCGGCUAAUACCCGGCGGAACUGACGGUACCUGAGGAAUAAGCACCGGCUAACUUCGUGCCAGCAGCCGCGGUAAUACGAAGGGUGCAAGCGUUAAUCGGAAUUACUGGGCGUAAAGCGUGCGUAGGCGGUUUGUUAAGUCUGUUGUGAAAUCCCCGGGCUCAACCUGGGAAUGGCAAUGGAUACUGGCAAGCUAGAGUGUGAUAGAGGAUGGUGGAAUUCCCGGUGUAGCGGUGAAAUGCGUAGAGAUCGGGAGGAACAUCAGUGGCGAAGGCGGCCAUCUGGAUCAACACUGACGCUGAGGCACGAAAGCGUG
Molecule: ribosomal RNA, 707 nt
Filed under: uncultured Gammaproteobacteria bacterium
Lineage: Bacteria; Pseudomonadati; Pseudomonadota; Gammaproteobacteria
Description: bacterial SSU rRNA
Rfam family: Bacterial small subunit ribosomal RNA
Source: RNAcentral